GCCCAUUCCCUGACGUUUCAGGACCGCGAAAGCUAGGGGAGAGAACGGGGAUUAGAAACCCCGGUAUUUCCUAGCCCGUAAACGAUGUCCAACUAGGCGUAGGGGGUAACCAUUCCUUCUGUGCUGCAGCAAACGCGAUAAGUUGACCGCCUGGGGACUACGGCCGCAAGGCUAAAACUCAAAGGAAUUGACGGGGCCCCGCACAAGCAGCGGAGCGUGUGGUUUAAUUCGAGGCUACGCGAAGAACCUUACCAGGGCUUGACAUGCAGGUGGUAGUGAAUCGAAAGAGGAACGACCCUUCGGGGAGCCUGCACAGGUGCUGCAUGGCUGUCGUCAGCUCGUGCCGUGAGGUGUUCGGUUAAGUCCGAUAACGAGCGCAACCCUCGUCGUUAGUUACAUGUGUCUAGCGAGACUGCCGGUGAUAAGCCGGAGGAAGGUGGGGAUGACGUCAAGUCAGGCAUGGCCUUUAUGGCCCUGGGCU
This 481-nucleotide ribosomal RNA is filed under the name uncultured bacterium. Its description in RNAcentral is "bacterial SSU rRNA". It matches the Rfam family "Bacterial small subunit ribosomal RNA", at positions 731 to 1215 of the family's 1533-position model. The record is from RNAcentral.